Molecule: transfer RNA, 73 nt
Filed under: Methanosarcinales archaeon
Lineage: Archaea; Methanobacteriati; Methanobacteriota; Methanomicrobia; Methanosarcinales
Description: tRNA-His
Rfam family: tRNA
About the family: Transfer RNA (tRNA) molecules are approximately 80 nucleotides in length. Their secondary structure includes four short double-helical elements and three loops (D, anti-codon, and T loops).
Source: RNAcentral
GCCGGGGUAGGGUAGCGGUAUAUCCUAUGGCCCUGUGGAGGCCAAGACUCGAGUUCGAAUCUCGGCCCCGGCC